CCUACGGGGUGCAGCAGUGAGGAAUAUUGGUCAAUGGGCGAGAGCCUGAACCAGCCAAGUCGCGUGAGGGAGUACUGCCCUAUGGGUUGUAAACCUCUUUUGUCGGGGAGCAAAAGCCGGACGUGUCCGGCUGUGAGAGUACCCUAAGAAAAAGCAUCGGCUAACUCCGUGCCAGCAGCCGCGGUAAUACGGAGGAUGCGAGCGUUAUCCGGAUUUUUGGGGGUAAAAGGGUGCGCAGGCGGAUUUUUAAGUCAGCGGUAAAAUCGUGGGGCUCAACCCCAUCCAGCCGUUGAAACUGGGGAUCUAGAGUGUGCGAGAGGUAUGCGGAAUGCGUGGUGUAGCGGUGAAAUGCAUAGAUAUCACGCAGAACCCUGAUUGCGAAGGCAGCAUACCGGUGCACAACUGACGCUCAGGCACGAAAGCGUGGGUAUCGAACAGGAUUAGAUACCCUUGUAGUC
RNAcentral lists this ribosomal RNA (458 nucleotides) under uncultured bacterium. RNAcentral describes it as "partial 16S ribosomal RNA". It matches the Rfam family "Bacterial small subunit ribosomal RNA", at positions 338 to 795 of the family's 1533-position model. The record is from RNAcentral.